This 1336-nucleotide non-coding RNA is filed under the name Pongo abelii (Sumatran orangutan). Lineage: Eukaryota; Metazoa; Chordata; Mammalia; Primates; Hominidae. The record is from RNAcentral.
CUCUCUCUUCCCCAGAAGCGAAGCAGUUCCAGCCGCGAGCUCCCCCACACAGGAGCCUCCUAUGUCAGGGCCUCCCAGCGCACCUCAGGGCGCACUGGCUGGGCCCCGUAGUCCAGCAGUGCGGCGAAGAGGACCUCGGGCUCCCAGUUGGGGGCGUCCUGGACGGCCUGCAGCGCACAAUCCAUGGGCGUGUGGCCCGCCCCAUUGGGGACCUCAGCGCGGGCCCCGUGGCGCAGCAGCAGCUCGGCCAGGCCCCCGCAGCCGUUGGCACAAGCGUUGUGCAGCGGCGUGUGGCGCUUGCGCCCGGCCGCCCGGGCAUCAGCUCCAGCCUCCAGAAGCCGGCGCGCCGCAGCCUGGUGCCGCCUGCAGCUACCUGGGCCCUCGGCCCCAGCGCACGCCGCGUUCAGCGCAGUCUCGCCCUGGCUGGUGCGCAGGCCCACGUGGGCGCCAUGCUCCAGGUACAGAGCCACAUGUUGCUCCAGGCCGCGCGCCGCCGCCACGUGCAGGGGCGUCUCCUGGCUCUCGCCUGCUGCCAGGUUCACCGUCGCUCCCGCUUCCAGCAGCAACUUGGCGCACCUGGGGACAAGAGGGCGAGGUCCCGAGGAAAAUCCUGAAGGCCUGGGACCCCUUCAGCUUGCUGUGACUCUCCCUUCCCUUUCCACCCCUCUCACCUUGAGGUCCUACCUGGUGUCCUCCAUGAGAGUCAACACAAGCCCCGCUACAGACAACAGAACUGGAAGGUCCUGAGAGCUACCAGAAGCAUCUUCAGUUUUCAUAUGAAAAACUUAAGCCCAGGAGUGAUUUGUGCAGCCAAGGACACACAGCAAGUUAGUGGCUGCACCAGAAAUAGUACUCACUGCCUCAGACAGUCCCUCCCACAGUCUACUCUGUCUCCACCCCAAGGUCUGGUUCUGAAUCAUUCAGUCGUCAGUUGUCUCCUAACUUUUUUUUUUUUUUUUUUUUUGGAGACAGGGUCUCUCUCUGUGGCCUAGGCUGAAGUGCAGUGGUGUGAUUACAGCUCAUGUAGCCUGGACCUCCCAAGCUCAAGCAAUCCUCCUGCCUCUGCCUCCCGAGUAGCUGGGACCACAGGUGGGCAGCACCACACCUGGCUAAUUUUUUAAAUUAUUUUUUAUAGAGACAGGGUCUUACCAUUUGCCCCAGCUGGUUUCAAACUCAUGACCUCAAGCAAGCCUCCUGCCUUGGCCUCCCAAAGUGCGGGGAUUACAGGUGUGAGCCACCACACCGGGCCUUAUCUCCUAACAUUUUGAUAGCACAAAAUUUUGAAAACCCACUUCUGUGUAUGUUAUGAAGCACAGAAAAUUAAAAAGUAUGCACC